RNAcentral lists this ribosomal RNA (301 nucleotides) under uncultured bacterium. RNAcentral's name for it is "partial 16S ribosomal RNA". It matches the Rfam family "Bacterial small subunit ribosomal RNA", at positions 509 to 807 of the family's 1533-position model. The record is from RNAcentral.
CAGCCGCCGCGGUAAUACGUAGGUGGCAAGCGUUGUCCGGAAUUAUUGGGCGUAAAGGGCUCGCAGGCGGUUUCUUAAAUCUGAUGUGAAAGCCCCCGGCUCAACCGGGGAGGGUCAUUGGAAACUGGGAAACUUGAGUGCAGAAGAGGAGAGUGGAAUUCCACGUGUAGCGGUGAAAUGCGUAGAGAUGUGGAGGAACACCAGUGGCGAAGGCGACUCUCUGGUCUGUAACUGACGCUGAGGAGCGAAAGCGUGGGGAGCGAACAGGAUUAGAUACCCCGGUAGUCCCUGUCUCUUAUAC